Molecule: ribosomal RNA, 506 nt
Filed under: uncultured bacterium
Lineage: Bacteria
Description: partial 16S ribosomal RNA
Rfam family: Bacterial small subunit ribosomal RNA
Source: RNAcentral
AGUGAACGCUGGCGGCAGGCCUAACACAUGCAAGUCGAACGGUAACAGGAAGAAGCUUGCUUCUUUGCUGACGAGUGGCGGACGGGUGAGUAAUGUCUGGGAAACUGCCUGAUGGAGGGGGAUAACUACUGGAAACGGUAGCUAAUACCGCAUAACGUCGCAAGACCAAAGAGGGGGACCUUCGGGCCUCUUGCCAUCAGAUGUGCCCAGAUGGGAUUAGCUAGUAGGUGGGGUAAUGGCUCACCUAGGCGACGAUCCCUAGCUGGUCUGAGAGGAUGACCGGCCACACUGGAACUGAGACACGGUCCAGACUCCUACGGGAGGCAGCAGUGGGGAAUAUUGCACAAUGGGCGCAAGCCUGAUGCAGCCAUGCCGCGUGUAUGAAGAAGGCCUUCGGGUUGUAAAGUACUUUCAGCGGGGAGGAAGGUGUUGUGGUUAAUAACCGCAGCAAUUGACGUUACCCGCAGAAGAAGCACCGGCUAACUCCGUGCCAGCCGCCGCGGUAA